Gasterosteus aculeatus aculeatus (three-spined stickleback) is the source of this 592-nucleotide long non-coding RNA. Lineage: Eukaryota; Metazoa; Chordata; Actinopteri; Perciformes; Gasterosteidae. The record is from Ensembl.
CGACAUCAGACUGAUGUCUAGUCGAGGCCCCGCUGAGGACGAACGGCACACAGCGGAGCUUCGUUUCAAUUCUUUGGUUUGGUCUCGGAUAUUAAAGACGGCGGUGAGAUGUCCGUUCACAGUGAACAGCAGGUGUUCGGCACUACUUCCCAACCAGACGCCUUUUUACCGGCCAUCAUUUCAAUGGAAGUCUACGCCGCUGAAUCCAACUAUUGCACACUCGUCGUACCAUCUGCUUCAGUGUAUACAGUGUUGCAUAUGCCCUACACACCUCCCUAUUACUCAACAUCACAGUGGGAACCUUUAAUUUCACUUUCACCGUGCAGCUAUAUUCCUGUUUCAAGAAGAUGGGGACAGAAAACCUGGCACAGGGGACAGAAAGAGUCCUAGAAGAGAGAAGACCGGGAGCAGGGAGACACACACAAAGGCACUGAGCUGCAGCUGUGUCCUGAGAAGGGAGGGUGGUCAACUCGAUCUCAUAGAUGCUCCAUCAAAGGGAAUUCUGUUCAUGGCCUUGCUUCAUAUCUUAUUUGAUCGGAGAUCCCGACACCUUCAAUCGGUUGAUGAGACAUCGGUAUCAAUGCCUUUCGAC